AAAAAGUGAAUCAAAUCUGGGGAUAGGUGAUCAGCUUACUUCGGCAAUCCCAAUUAAUUGUCAUCUCGGGUUCUUCGUCAACCUACUAGUCACUAACCUAGUAGGAUCUUCCACUAACAUAACGAGUUAGCAAGAACUACUUAUCUUCUGACCUCAUAGUCCUGAUUGGCUUGGGGUAAAGGUGUUCACAAAUGGGCAAUACAGAUUUUGGGUUAAUUCUGACCUUGAUAACUUUCCAG
This 239-nucleotide long non-coding RNA is filed under the name Gossypium barbadense (sea-island cotton). Its description in RNAcentral is "long non-coding RNA (GBAR_LNC018503)". Lineage: Eukaryota; Viridiplantae; Streptophyta; Magnoliopsida; Malvales; Malvaceae. The record is from RNAcentral.